GAUGGAAUAUAUGUCUUACACUGACGAAAAAAUUCUAUCGGUAAAACUGUUAAAUCUUGUAGUGAUAAAAUUGUUCAAAUUCAGAGGCAACAAUAAAGC
Molecule: long non-coding RNA, 99 nt
Organism: Populus euphratica (Euphrates poplar)
Lineage: Eukaryota; Viridiplantae; Streptophyta; Magnoliopsida; Malpighiales; Salicaceae
Exons: 3
Source: RefSeq, a predicted model, not a curated record